GGAUGUGCACAGGAGGGAGGGUUAGCGAAGAAAGGGGGAAUGGAGGAGGGAGGUACGGAGGAGGCAAGUCGAGGAGGAGGAGGAGGAGAAGAAAGGGGGCAUGAGAGGAAGCAGCACGGAUGGGUGGAGGGGCGGCAAGAGGAGAGCGCGCAUUGAAAAGAUAGGAUCCAGCACUUUGGCAUUUAACAAGAUUUAUUCUUCUGUGUGCCUCGUUGAAAGGAAGAGCGAAUGAAGAGGGAAUGAUGAGCUCAGAACCCAGAUCCUUCUGUUAGCUUACUGAAGUGGAAAAAAGAAGAACAGUUAUUAUGAAGAAAAGAAAAUUCACAAGGUGGAUGGAAAACGGGACCAGGACAGUGGUAGAUAUGCCUGAGCACUGGUACUUUCCUUAGUAGCCCGUGGGGUGAAUUCUGUGAAGAAACAGGGAGUUGGUCAAUGCUACCCAUUUCACCUGAUCUGUCAUUCCUACAAGGCAAGGAGCAGCAGGGGAGAAGGCAAAGAAUAAGAGGCAUGAAGUGUGGAGUGUAUAGUGAACUGAGGAAAAGAAAACAUUCCCUGAGGGCAAUUUCACCCCUAAAUCACCAGCACAUAUAUCUGCCUUGUCUCCAGCUUAACAGGGUGGGUACCCAUAGCCAUACCCAUACCCGUACCCUUUCCCCCCAACUCUGAAAAUAUUUAUUUUCUUGAAAUAUGUCCUACUAAGUACUGGGAGCAGAGGGAUGCCCCUUGGGGCGGAGGAAGGCACUCUCCAUGGUCCUGCAGAGAAAGCACCUGCCUUGCCCAUGCCUGGGUCAGGAUUAUGGGAAAAGACCAUCGCUCUGACUUUUAAGUAAACGAUAGCAGAAAGCAAGAGGCUUUCAUGCAAAGAGUCUUCAACACCAUUUCUGCUUUUCUAGUUACUAAGCAGAAUAAGUGAUUUAGGUGAGCGUAUGGCUCAUUUCUUAUCAGUUGUACAGUGGCUCUGUUGUAAACAGGUUCUCUCCCUGCAAAAAAUGCUUUAUGAGAUAUGAAUUGCAGAUAAGGAAAACAUGCCAAAAAGGCUGUAACAAAUGAGAACAGACAAAGCAGUGGAUCUGCUCUGCAAGUGUGUGAAAUGGGAGUUCAAACUACAAUUGGACAAUGCAGCAGAGAAAACAAGGUCACCCUCUCCCUCUGACUGAGGAAGUGAGCAGAGAUUUGGGCAGUAAUGUACUGAUUUUCUCCCCCACACCCCAUAUGGGAGGCUGUCACUGUAUUUCUUCUUUACCCAACAAAAAAAGAUACCUAGAAGAACUGAUACUUGGCAUAUCCCGAGGUAGGUGAGCUCUUUCUCACGACGGGUGGCUGUGGAUGUAAAACUGAGUUGUGGAGAAAUCAUUUGCUGCUGGUCUGAAAAUGAGCUGAAACCUGCAAAAAAAGAUGGAACGAUUUAGGAAAAUAGCUACCAAAAUGCUACCAGGAAAGAAAGAGUGGAUGAAAUGCUCCCUUUCUUAUGCAACUUGGUUGUGUGUCAUGUUAGUUCUCCAAAGGCAGUCUCUUUUUUCAUUUUCUGAAUAUAAAUUGUGUCCAUAAUACUGUGUCCAGUCUCCUCUUUUGUUGAUCUCUGCUGCCAUCAACUUUGCUUAAGUUGACCUUUGAACUCAUGGUAAGGAAAAUUUAAAAAGUAAGAAUGUUAUAGGUUCAUGACGGAAGGUGCAAGGUGAGACUGAGAUUUGGAAUGAAUAUUUAUAUAUAUAAUUCUGAAAUGAGCUUACUACCUUUUUUGAGUAUACAAGGUGAGUUCUCCAGCUUCUUCCAGGUUUGUGUUUGUGAGAACAAUGGUAGAAAGACAAAAUGAAAUACCUGAAAGCCCUUUCUAGAUUUGGACAUACAAAACCAUGCUAUUCCAAGGAACUUUGAACUCGGAACCCAGUUUUCCCAAAGAUAUUCUCCUCUCUCCUCUCCCACCAGCGGUUCUUUGACAUUUCCUCCAAAAUAUUUGUGCAAGUCCUGGAGAGGGAAGUUGAGAAAAUAGAGCAUGAAUUAACCCUUUGUCUGCAUGGCGGGUGGUGUAGUCCCUCACCUUUGUCACUGAUUAUCUAACAUUACUUGCUUGAGCCCACUGACUGACAGUCUCUUCAGUACACUUGGUUCUAAGGGCCCCAAAUUCCCCAAGAACUGCAUCAGGUUCACCAAGUAGACGAUUCAGAUGCCUAUUGUUAAGCAUAAUGAGAGAGUCAUUUACAAUUUCUGUCUAUAUGGAGUGUUUUAUAUCUAGAGGAGAAUGUGAGGCAACAUUUUCAAAGCCUAAACUGACAUACGCUGUGUUGUAUAAAGUUUUUUACAUUUAUUUAAUGUCAGUAAUUGCUCAGGAAAUAAAAAUCAAGCAAUUAGUAUCUCUAAAAAGAAUAUGUACAUAUAAACGUAAGACUUGCCAACACAGCGGGAAAGCUAGAAAGGAGGGUAUGAAAUAACUUAGCUCUAUGCCAUCUUUUUAUAGCACAUUCUGUACCACUGGCCAAUUGUGGUAUUUCACAACACAGGUAGUAAAUCACAUCUACCGUAGUGUGUCACACAUAGCAGAUUAAAGAGAAGAAGUCCUGUUUUCAUUCUGGUUGCACUUUAAAAUCAUCAUUAGCAGCUAUGAUCCAUUACUGGGAAACUACUGUCAAAUGGUAUAAUAAAUCAAUGGGUUAGAAGCACUCAGUACUCUGCAUGCACAUUCACACUUGCACUUUUUAUAAAUGUUCUUUUGUACACUGUAUCACUUGUAGAAAAAUACAGAUGUGCCUCUUUAUGGAGUUCAUUGUCUAGUAGCUCCCUCUGUCCUAGUCUUCUAUCACAAAAAUCUUUCAGCUUUUGGCCCUUGUUUUCAUAGUCUCCUUUCAACAUAACGUGCAGGUUGGCUAGAACAAAUUAUAUUCCAUGCCCUGCAUUGGGAAGAUCGGACCAAAUUCCUUUCUGGCAAUAAAGUACCUGGCAGUAGGACUGCAGAGCAUUUGCCAUAGACAUGGGGUAAUCCAGAAUGCUUUCCAAAUGCACAGCUGAAUGGGGCCACUCCAGACCAAAAGUGAGGAAAACCUGGAUGAAGGAGAGUGAUGGUUUGAUCAUGCAAUGCUGAUUCUGCAUAUUUUUACUAUAAUUCUUUCAAAUGAGACAAAACCACAGAAACUAAUUGUUCUUUCUGCAUGUAACAUGCUGAUUAUUCUCUACAUGUGAAGCAUACCCUUACACCAGAUAGCUGACUUAGGUCUUGCAUGGAUAUAUGCUAGAUCGGGAAAAAGUGGAAUCAAACAAGUACUUCUGUGACAUGCAAGCACUUCCUCUAAAGGCCAGCCAUGCAUAGUGAGAGUAUGUAAGGAUGUCACUCACCUGGUUAUAGGCACUAUGCAGUUUUAGUAUAAUUCAGCUCUAUUGCAGCAGCCUGGGAAGACAGCUUGUUCUUCUGCAUUCAGUCAGCACCUGCUCCACUUUGUAAGCUGUCAAUGGGCGCUGUGUGCUUGAAAAUGGUGUAGGAGUUUAUGGUAGGGGACUUCGGGUUGCAUGCGGAUAAAUUAACCACCGUGCUUAAGAAACAGAAUAGAGGAGGCAGUCUACAGGGGAAAACCAAAAGUAAAUGUAUCCUACCUGUGUGUUAAAGUAAGUAUAGCCAUGCAAUGAGUUCCUCUGGUCUUCCAAGGCUUCAUGACCAUGAACAACAUGAGGUUGUAGAUGAAGACAAGGGAAUCCUUUUCAGUUCACAAUAGAUUCUGUGAUGAAUAAGUAUGUUGGGCAAGAUUCAACCCUGGGUCAACUAAUCACCUCACCUAGCAGAACGGACAGCAGCUCAAAUGCUCAGUUAUUGUCAUAACUUGUUCACAAGUUCAAAUCGUCCCCCAAAUAAAUAAUUGCUAAUAACUAAAAAUGUCAAGGAGGGGAAAUUAUUUACCUUUACUCUCUCUUUUUUUUUUUUUUAAUUUUAGGAGCUGCUAUACAUCCAAAUCAGACAGUUUCUUGUUUUAUCACUUAUGGUAUGUCAGGCAAGGUUUCCAUAUCAUCUCAUGAAAAUUUCUACAUAGGACUUCUUUUCAAAGUGACUGUUCUCUUCAAUCCUAAACAUAUCAUAAAUUUAACAUUCAGAAAAUUUUAGAAAUAAAAAUGAAGACUGUAUCUGCUGAUCAGGCUGGAACCCUGUAUUUUCACUGUUCUAGGGAAUUUGCUUUUAUCCUUGUAGACUGCAGAAUAGAAGCAUUGAGAAAUACCUACACUGAGUCAUUCUUAUAACAUUUUACAUUCUGUUAUGAUCAUUUAUCUCUCCUUUAAAGGUCUGUACAGUUGAAUUUAUGAUAGUAGGUCAGACUGGUGGGAGAAAGAGUAUGAAAAAGAGAACCUCACAUUUUUUUUCCUUAUUCUUUAGAACAUUUACUAAAAGAUUACUUCCUGUGAAAUGUGAACUAAGCAUACGUUGUGAUGAUGUGGUCUACCAUUAAGAACUUUUUUGUUCUAGAUUUUGUUGAUUUGGAACCCAUUGAUGACUUUGCAGUUCAUAUGAAUUGUAGCUAUUCAUGUGCAUGUAUACAUAUAUAGAAUUUCCUUUAAAAUAAAAUAAACAUAUUGUUAAAAAAAAACCCCCAACAGAAUAACUGAGUUCUUUUGCCAAGAUAAGCAUACCCUUCAGUGCAAAGGUGUAACAGUGGUGACACUACAGGUCAGAGUAUGUAAAGUAAUGCUCAUUAUUCUGUAAUUUUUCCCCAAAGGCUAUGACCUUCAGUGAAAAUAAAUAACAUUUUGAAAGCAAAGGUAAUGUAAUUAUUCAUAGACUGUUUUGGAUUAGUUGGCAGAAAAGCAAAUAUUUCAGUUUCAGCUUGAAAAUCAAGCCAUUAUUUAACUUUCAAUGUGCAGUUCCCAUAGUAAAUUCAUUUUUAAUGGGAUGGUGUACCUGGUUUGUGCUUGGUAAUUCAGCUAUAAAAAAUCUGAGCUGUGCCCCAUAAAUCAAUCUGAAUGGUAUGCCAUAAGACUGCAAUAAAUUUAUGAGCUGCCUUAAAAAAAAAAACAGAGCAUGUAUUAAGUUUUUUAUGUGUUGUACAUAUCACAAGUCAAAUCUUUGACUCUAGAAAUACAACUAUGGGAGGUUUUAAAAUGGUAAAAUCUCAUUUGGGUCACCUGGAAUCCUUUGUAUUUAGUAUUUCCCCAGCCUGCAACUGAUCUUUGGGAUCCCUUUCAGAUUUAUUGGAAGAUCUGGCUGUGAGUCACUUCCAGGGAGUCUUGCUGAAGUUCCUUAAAGAUAAUGUACAUUUGUGCUACUGGAAAAUAUUUACUAAUGGGGAAGCGUAGCUGUAUAUGUGACAACUGUUUGUCUCUGCAGGUCAUUCAUUUCAUGGAUGACAGUAGGGUCCCAGAGUUAUAUGACUGCAGCCCCUCACAGAGGCUUUUUCUUCUGUAUCUUAAGGAUUAAUAUGUGAUGCACACAGUAGUCAGAAUGAUGAGAAAGGUGUAGAAGCCUAAAUAGGUGGAGUAACCUUUUGCUAGUAUUUAUAACAAGCAAUGAUGUAGGAAACCUUGUGUCUGAAGCCUGGCUGGAGACCAUCUCGAUUGCUGUUGGGUAGCUGACAGCAGCGUGUGUUUGGUGCCAAAGUUUCUACAUCAGCUGAAACGCAGAACUGGUAACGGCACUGGGUGAGCACAUGGAGCCGCAUCUUUGCUGAGACACCAACCCGGCUUUGGACAGCCACAGCGUCUCCCAUGGAAACAGAGGGAAUAUUAUACUGGGUCGAUUUAAUGACUAGCUCAUGCAAAGAUUAAAAUCUGACAGAGCAAGCAGUAAUGAUGUCAUUAUCCUCUUUCUACCUACAGAAAG
This is a long non-coding RNA of Aquila chrysaetos chrysaetos, 5791 nucleotides long. RefSeq lists it as uncharacterized. The record is from RefSeq and is a predicted model, not a curated record. NCBI's taxonomy places the organism in Eukaryota, Metazoa, Chordata, Aves, Accipitriformes, Accipitridae. The transcript has 4 exons.